Molecule: microRNA precursor, 98 nt
Organism: Poecilia reticulata (guppy)
Lineage: Eukaryota; Metazoa; Chordata; Actinopteri; Cyprinodontiformes; Poeciliidae
Gene: mir18a
Product: microRNA 18a
Source: Ensembl
GUACUGUCUUUGUGCUAAGGUGCAUCUAGUGCAGAUAGUGAAAUAGACUAGCACCUACUGCCCUAAGUGCUCCUUCUGGCAUAAGGGGCUGUAAUAUG